UAAUUCUUUCCCCCAUUUGAACCCUAAACCUAGAAAAUCAGAGACGGUGUCCCCUCUACUAUUCUUCUUCUUCUCCUCAACUCGCCUCAACUCGUUUGAGUUUUGAGCGAGUUCAUUCAUUGGUCUCCCCCUCCAUGGCACCUUAUCCUCAACAGAUUUGUCAGAGGAGUACGAUAUUCUCUCAAAAUUGCACGAUUUCGGAUUCAAAAGGACAAUUGUUGGGCGAAUGGGAGCCGUGGAUAGAUGUGAAUCAAUCCACGCCCUCCAUUUGUCCCAAAAUUGUUCAGAAAUCUGAAGAUUUUCGGAUUCUAGGCAGAAGCUUCGAGAUAUUUUGAGGUUUAUAUAUAAGGUACAGCUCAUUAAUUAAAUGACAUGAACCUGCAGAUUAGUUUGGGAAUAAGAACUGAUGGAAAUUGUUCAUAUGUCAGCUGUCCUGUUACCUUUGUUUGAUCGCUAUUGUUGGUUAGUUUAAUUGCUGAAGUUUUUUUUAGUUCCUACUUUUGCUUCUUCUUCGGCUCUAUUUUUUUUAUGAUCUGGGUCAGAAUCAGAUCUCUUGAUGUUUGUAUUAGUCUUAGCUUCUUUCGUUUCCUCUAUAGAUCCAGGAAAGUUUUUUUAAAGUUUUAUGAGGGGAUUGUUAACACUGAAUUGGGCAUUUUGUUUGGUUUAGAUUGACUUAGUUUUCUUUCUUAUGUGACGCUGAUUUGUGCGCACAUGUAGUGUGUUCAACUUUAAGAGGUCAAAUUUGCCUUGUGAUGCAAUAGUUUUUUUUUAAGUUGAGCAAAAGUAAGGAAAAGAUUUUUUGUAGUCAUAUUGUCAUAAUUAGUGGUGUAUCUUAAUUCACUUUAAUGAAUGUUUAAGUAUGCUAAGUAGUUUGAUGU
Molecule: long non-coding RNA, 878 nt
Organism: Nicotiana tabacum (common tobacco)
Lineage: Eukaryota; Viridiplantae; Streptophyta; Magnoliopsida; Solanales; Solanaceae
Source: RefSeq, a predicted model, not a curated record